ACCAAGAUGAUGAACUGAACAUAUGCAAAACAAAUUAUAGUAGUAAAACAUUUCAAUUAAAUACAUUUUACAACGACAUGUCUACUUUGCAUUGCAGGUCAGUGGAAGCAGUUUUGUGAUGACCUGAUAAAGAUCAAGGUGCCCUCACCCAGGAAAUCAAAUUUGGUCACAGCGAAGCAGGGGUCGCUUUAUCACGAAAUAGUCACUCCAUAUUCCCCAGGUGAGGUUGUGGUGAUCCAGGAUAACUCUGUCUGCUGAGGUGCAGGCCUGCUCUCAUCCUACGAUAACAGCGGAGCAGUUGAAGGAUCUUCCAAGAGUGCCAGGUUGUCCCCGUCAAGUGGACCAUCAUCACAAUGGUAUCUGCAUUGUCCAGGACAGGAUCCACCUCUCCCAUUGUACUACUACUAAUAAUACAUGUGACAAAACAUCAAACAAAACAUCAGAAUAAACAAAAACAUGUAUAAAGAGAGGGGUGGGCUCAAAGAAGGGAAAGAG
Non-coding RNA from Salmo salar (Atlantic salmon), 495 nucleotides. Lineage: Eukaryota; Metazoa; Chordata; Actinopteri; Salmoniformes; Salmonidae. The record is from RefSeq and is a predicted model, not a curated record.